UGGGGGAAGGAGGAGAGAAAAGGCCCUGGAGCUGCCCCAGCACAGCAGCCUGAAGAGGUGGAGCAGUUCCAGCCACCACAGAGGGGUGCAGCCGUGCAGCGCACACGAGAGCAGGAACGCACCCGUGGCCGCUUCCGCAGAACAGCGCAGAUGGUUUGCAAAUUCAUGAAGUGGAUUCGGGAGGAAGAGAGCAGCGUCACGGGCACUGUGGUCAGAGCGUCCUCUCCCAUCUUCAAAACCAAGACCAGGGCUGCCCUGCUGGAUAUGCUUGUGCAGGAGGGUCCUUCCAGCCCAAAGCAAGUGAGCAGCCUGUGGCCAGGGUUUGAUCCUCCCAGCAAUUACUUGGCCUCCGAAGCCACGCCUGCUGUACAUCCUCGUGGCCAAUGAGUUUCCUGAGUACAAUCUGUACAGGCCCCUCCUGGAUCUGACAGAGGCACAGCCCUGUGACGUGGUGAUGGCUCUCCUGCGUGUGGCCCCAGUGUGUGACAGAGCUGCUUUGGCCAUGUGGAAGAGCAUCAUGUGCUCACCCAGGACUGCAGAGCCGACCAUGCUCGUACUCCUCGAUGUGCUGGGGAGCUGGCCAGAGCACAGCACGUGCACCUCCGAUGGGGACCACACGGCUGUCCUUGCCCUGGCUAUGGUGACCGUGUAUUUCCCCCGCCUGUUUGUCCAUCUGCUCUUCCAAGUGUUCUUCAGCACUCUGGAUAUGCCAGAGGAGGUCGAUACCUUCUGGAAGGGAUUCCAGCAGCAACACGGCCUUGCCUCCAACCCCAGCAGGUUUGCAGUGCGGACCCUGAAGUCCCUGCUCUGCCAAAUGCAGCACGAGGAUGUGGUGGUGGCAAUGGAAUGCAAGUGUGGCUGGGACACGCUGCUGUGUGCUGACACCCACCACUAUGCCGUGGGUCUGCUGGCCAGGGAGAUGUCCUGUGUCUCCAUCCCCUUGUGCUCUCGGAUCGCUCGCUACCUGCUCCGGCUGCUCAGCACACAGGAGCCACGCUGGGAGCUGCCCUCCCUGGCGUGCCUUGUGGAGGUGAGCCUGAAGGCCAGCGCUGCCUCGCUCAGCUGCCUCCCGGCUCUCUGCCCUCUCUUGGCUGCAGUGCCUGGGACGGUGCCCGCGCCCUGUGCUGCUGCCUGGGCCCGGCCCUGUGCGGUUCUGGGCUCCUGCUGGCCGGUCCCCCGUCACUGCCCUGUGCCUUUCAGGUCCUCGAGUGCCUGGAAUUGAGUGAACGCGGUGCUGACAGAGUCCUGCAAAUCUUGUCAAGGCACCUGAGGAGCGAGUGCAAGGAGAGGCGUCACCUGGCGCUCAGGGCCCUUCUCGAGCUCAUCAAGGAUCCCUCGAUGAGAGAAAAAAUGUGGAGCCUGACUGAAAGUCUUGUGGAGCUCCUGUGGGAUGUGGAUGGAGAGAUAGUUAGCAUGACAGUCCUGCUCCUCAGCUGUAUCUUCUUGGACAAGGACAUGCUGAUAGCCAGCCCCAUCACACUGCAGCUGGUUGAGGCGCUCCUGCCACUCCUUGACCACG
Non-coding RNA from Taeniopygia guttata (zebra finch), 1519 nucleotides. NCBI's taxonomy places the organism in Eukaryota, Metazoa, Chordata, Aves, Passeriformes, Estrildidae. The record is from RefSeq and is a predicted model, not a curated record.